RNAcentral lists this ribosomal RNA (1360 nucleotides) under uncultured beta proteobacterium. Its description in RNAcentral is "bacterial SSU rRNA". It matches the Rfam family "Bacterial small subunit ribosomal RNA", at positions 44 to 1398 of the family's 1533-position model. Lineage: Bacteria; Pseudomonadati; Pseudomonadota; Betaproteobacteria. The record is from RNAcentral.
AGGCCUAACACAUGCAAGUCGAACGGUAACAGGGAGCUUGCUCGCUGACGAGUGGCGAACGGGUGAGUAAUGUAUCGGAACGUACCAUUCAGUGGGGGAUAACGUAGCGAAAGUUACGCUAAUACCGCAUAUUCUGUGCGCAGGAAAGCAGGGGAUCGCAAGACCUUGCGCUGAUUGAGCGGCCGAUAUCAGAUUAGGUAGUUGGUGAGGUAAAAGCUCACCAAGGCGACGAUCUGUAGCGGGUCUGGGAGGAUGAUCCGCCACACUGGAACUGAGACACGGUCCAGACUCCUACGGGAGGCAGCAGUAGGGAAUUUUGGGCAAUGGGGGCAACCCUGAUCCAGCCAUGCCGCGUGAGUGAAGAAGGCCUUCGGGUUGUAAAGCUCUUUCAGCCGGGAAGAAAAUGCAUGGGUUAAUACCCUGUGCAGAUGACGGUACCGGAAUAAGAAGCACCGGCUAACUACGUGCCAGCAGCCGCGGUAAUACGUAGGGUGCGAGCGUUAAUCGGAAUUACUGGGCNUAAAGCGUGCGCAGGCGGUUUUGUAAGACAGGCGUGAAAUCUCCGGGCUUAACCUGGGAACUGCGUUUGUGACUGCAAGGCUAGAGUACGGCAGAGGGGGGGUGGAAUUCCACGUGUAGCAGUGAAAUGCGUAGAGAUGUGGAGGAACACCAAUGGCGAAGGCAGCCCCCUGGGUCGAUACUGACGCUCAUGCACGAAAGCGUGAGUAGCAAACAGGAUUAGAUACCCUGGUAGUCCACGCCCUAAACGAUGUCAACUAGGUGUUGGGAGGGUAAAACCUUUUAGUACCGUAAGUAACGCGAGAAGUUGACCGCCUGGGGAGUACGGCCGCAAGGUUAAAACUCAAAGGAAUUGACGGGGACCGGCACAAGCGGUGGAUGAUGUGGAUUAAUUCGAUGCAACGCGAAAAACCUUACCUACCCUUGACAUGUCAGGAACUUUCCAGAGAUGGAUUGGUGCCCGAAAGGGAGCCUGAACACAGGUGCUGCAUGGCUGUCGUCAGCUCGUGUCGUGAGAUGUUGGGUUAAGUCCCGCAACGAGCGCAACCCUUGUCGUUAAUUGCCAUCAUUUAGUUGGGCACUUUAACGAGACUGCCGGUGACAAACCGGAGGAAGGUGGGGAUGACGUCAAGUCCCCAUGGCCCUUAUGGGUAGGGCUUCACACGUCAUACAAUGGUCGGUACAAAGGGUCGCCAACCCGCGAGGGGGAGCCAAUCCCAUAAAGCCGAUCGUAGUCCGGAUUGUAGGCUGCAACUCGCCUGCAUGAAGUCGGAAUCGCUAGUAAUCGUGGAUCAGCAUGUCACGGUGAAUACGUUCCCGGGUCUUGUACACACCGCCCGUC